This 254-nucleotide ribosomal RNA is filed under the name uncultured bacterium. Its description in RNAcentral is "partial 16S ribosomal RNA". It matches the Rfam family "Bacterial small subunit ribosomal RNA", at positions 524 to 776 of the family's 1533-position model. The record is from RNAcentral.
UACGGAGGAUCCAAGCGUUAUCCGGAAUUACUGGGCGUAAAGAGUUGCGUAGGUGGCAUAGUAUGUCUGUAGUGAAAGCGUGUGGCUCAACCAUAUAUACAUUACAGAAACUGCUAAGCUAGAGGACGAGAGAGGUUAUUAGAAUUCCUAGUGUAGGAGUGGAAUCCGUAGAUAUUAGGAGGAAUACCGAUGGCGUAGGCAGAUAACUGGCUCGUUCCUGACACUAAGGCACGAAAGCGUGGGGAGCAAACGGG